UCAAAAUAAAAACUUCUGCAGAGCAAAGGAAACAACCAACAAAACUAAAAGAUGAAUAUGACUUUUGCGCUUCCAAUGAAGUCCAGAGCUUUCAGUUUGUUCCAGACUGUCUUCAUUUUUGUAUUUUGGCUCUGAGGAUGGAGUUCGGUUUUUGACAAUACAAGCAUGAAAAGAACUUAAGCCUGCAGAACUAUGAAGAAGGAAUGCAUGAUCAUAAAAUAGAAAACAUAUAUUCGUUCGAUGAUAGUAAACAUAUAUUAAGACAUU
This is a long non-coding RNA of Felis catus (domestic cat), 267 nucleotides long. RefSeq lists it as uncharacterized. The record is from RefSeq and is a predicted model, not a curated record. NCBI's taxonomy places the organism in Eukaryota, Metazoa, Chordata, Mammalia, Carnivora, Felidae. The transcript is spliced from 3 exons.